RNAcentral lists this ribosomal RNA (750 nucleotides) under uncultured bacterium. Its description in RNAcentral is "bacterial SSU rRNA". It matches the Rfam family "Bacterial small subunit ribosomal RNA", at positions 28 to 776 of the family's 1533-position model. The record is from RNAcentral.
GAUGAACGCUGGCUGUGUGCCUAAUACAUGCAUGUCGAGCGAAGCACUUUUGUGCUUAGCGGCGAAUGGGUGAGUAACACGUACUUAACCUACCCUCAAGAUUGGGACAACACUUGGAAACGAGUGCUAAUACCAAAUACGUAUUUUUAUCGCAUGAUAGAUAUAUAAAAGGAGCUUCGGCUUCACUAGAGGAUGGGAGUGCGCUACAUUAGUUAGUUGGUAGGGUAAUGGCCUACCAAGACUAUGAUGUAUAGCGGGGCCGAGAGGCUGAUCCGCCACACUGGAACUGAGAUACGGCCCAGACUCCUACGGGAGGCAGCAGUAGGGAAUUUUCCACAAUGAACGAAAGUUUGAUGGAGCGACACAGCGUGCAGGAUGAAGGUCUUCGGAUUGUAAACUGCUGUUAUAAGAGAAGAAAAACCCUGGUAGGUAAUGACCAGGACUUGACGGUACCUUAUCAGAAAGCGACGGCUAACUAUGUGCCAGCAGCCGCGGUAAUACAUAGGUCGCAAGCGUUAUCCGGAAUUAUUGGGCGUAAAGAGUUCGUAGGUGGUUUUGUAAGUCUGAAGUUAAAUACCGGGGCUCAACCCCGGCCCGCUUUGGAUACUGCAAAACUAGAGUAAUAGAGAGGUUAGUGGAACUCCAAGUGAAGCGGUGGAAUGCGUAGAUAUUUGGAAGAACACCAAUGGCGAAGGCAACUAACUGGAUAUUAACUGACACUGAGGAACGAAAGCGUGGGUAGCAAACAGG